Passer domesticus (house sparrow) is the source of this 1480-nucleotide long non-coding RNA. RefSeq lists it as uncharacterized. Lineage: Eukaryota; Metazoa; Chordata; Aves; Passeriformes; Passeridae. The transcript is spliced from 4 exons. The record is from RefSeq and is a predicted model, not a curated record.
CUGGGGCCACGGGGCUGGCUGGGAAAAUCCAUGGCAAGUGCUGCAACAUCACAUCAGGAUGGACCAAAGCAGCCCCACAUUCAGCCCCCACCUCGCCUUGGAGGGGGACAUCCAACAGCUUCACUUGGUGCUGUGCCCACCUACCAAAGCCUGACAUUUUUACAGGUCAAGAGAGGAAGCCACAUCCCUGCCUUGCUGCAGGACUUCCUCCCUGGGCCAUCAUGCCACCCCUUAGCAGCAUGUGGUUGCCUUCACAUGUUUAUGAACACAAAUGAAUUUAGCACAGAGGCACUUGGACACAGACAACGUUUCACCAGCUGAAAGAUUUAGAUGUCCAGUGAAAGCUAAGCUCAGCCUUUUGCCCCUUCCUAGAGAGCGUGGGAUAAACUGCCAGCUGGGUCUCCCUCUGCCCUCUGUAAAUCGAGCCCAGAAGAUCAGCCUGGCUUCAGCUGUUGUCAUCUGCCUUCACACAUGCUUUGUGCUGCUCCCCCUGGUUCCAGAUGGCCAGAGAGAAGAAGAUAGACAGAGAUCACAGUGCAGGCACUAUGGAGCAGCCCCAGCAGCCUGGAGAAGAGACAAUCCAUUUUUCCCUUUCUGGGAUCAUCCUGUUGUGUGUUUCCUGACUAUGCAGACGUGGUAUAGCUGAUAGACUGGCCCUUAUAUGUGUGUUUUUAUGGAUAAGCCUGUCCAGCUGCUUAUUCCUGCAGCAUGGAGCGUGGCCCUGUGUGCUUCCAUCUUCCCAGAGCUUCUCUCCAGAAGGAUUUGCACUGCACACAAUGCAAACCUUCCAUUUCAACCAUUCUGGCUGGCGACAGGAUGGCCUCAGUGUUGUUUACAGUUGCAAUAAUAGGUAAAAAAUAUUCAUGUUGGAGGGUCAUCUCAUGGGGCUCAGUGAAGACCUGCUCCCAAAUACUACAGAGCAUGGGCACAGUCAACUUUUGUCAUUUGGUGCCCAUGUCUCAUCACUCUCACACCCAAGAAUUUCUUCCCAAUGUCUAAUCAAAUCUUGCCCUCUGUCAGUUUCAAGCCUUUAUCCCUUGUACUAUCACAACACACCCUGUAAAGAGUCCCUCUCCAGCCUUCUUCUAGCCCCCUUUAGGCACUGUAAGGCUGCUGUCAUUGUAACCACUGCUUCACUGGUUCCCAUUCUUGGUUUUCCCAAGGCUGUAGUAGAUUUUCAGGAAGUUGCAUCAUCUGAAAGGGUCACUGGAUGAAAGGUUCAAUUUGUAAAUGCAUAUUCAAAUCUGGAGGACUUCAGUGCAAAGCAGACCCUUAGACCUGUAAGGGAAAUGUGAGCAGCAUAUACAUGAUUUCAGGCUGCAACAAAAAAUCCAAUCUCUGUCAGCAUUAUGACUUGCCAUCCUUCAUAGUACUAUGAAUUUGGAAGCUGAAAGAAAAAUGGGGAACUUUGGAAGUUCUCUAGUAGCUAUUACGGGAAGUGGUAUAGCUGUAUUCAAAUAAAUGUGUCCCACUUCCAACA